RNAcentral lists this ribosomal RNA (774 nucleotides) under uncultured bacterium. RNAcentral's name for it is "bacterial SSU rRNA". It matches the Rfam family "Bacterial small subunit ribosomal RNA", at positions 28 to 776 of the family's 1533-position model. The record is from RNAcentral.
GACGAACGCUGGCGGCGUGCCUAAUACAUGCAAGUCGAACGCUUUGAUUUUCACCGGAGCUUGCUCCACCGAAAAUCAAAGAGUGGCGGACGGGUGAGUAACACGUGGGCAACCUGCCCAACAGAGGGGGAUAACACUUGGAAACAGGUGCUAAUACCGCAUAAUUUGUUUUUCCGCAUGGAAGAAUAAUAAAAGACGCUUCGGUGUCACUGUUGGAUGGGCCCGCGCUGCAUUAGUUAGUUGGUGGGGUAACGGCCUACCAAGACCAUGAUGCAUAGCCGACCUGAGAGGGUGAUCGGCCACACUGGGACUGAGACACGGCCCAGACUCCUACGGGAGGCAGCAGUAGGGAAUCUUCGGCAAUGGACGAAAGUCUGACCGAGCAACGCCGCGUGAGUGAAGAAGGUUUUCGGAUCGUAAAACUCUGUUGUUAGAGAAGAACAAGUGAGAGAGUUACUGUUCUCACCUUGACGGUAUCUAACCAGAAAGCCACGGCUAACUACGUGCCAGCAGCCGCGGUAAUACGUAGGUGGCAAGCGUUGUCCGGAUUUAUUGGGCGUAAAGCGAGCGCAGGCGGUUUCUUAAGUCUGAUGUGAAAGCCCUCGGCUCAACCGAGGAAGGUCAUUGGAAACUGGGGAACUUGAGUGCAGAAGAGGAGAGUGGAAUUCCAUGUGUAGCGGUGAAAUGCGUAGAUAUAUGGAGGAACACCAGUGGCGAAGGCGACUCUCUGGUCUGUAACUGACGCUGAGCUCGAAAGCGUGGGGAGCAAACAGG